RNAcentral lists this long non-coding RNA (219 nucleotides) under Nicotiana benthamiana. RNAcentral describes it as "long non-coding RNA (NBEN_LNC029667)". The record is from RNAcentral. Lineage: Eukaryota; Viridiplantae; Streptophyta; Magnoliopsida; Solanales; Solanaceae.
CUAUUUUGAAUCUGUAAACUAAAGUUAAAGUUCAAGUAAUUGUAAGCAUGUAUUAAGUUAUCCUUGUUCUAUAUUCAGUGAAUUCUUCAGCUGCUUCGACAUCUGCAAAUAUGAACAGCAUCCCUGUGCUUAACGGCACAAACUUUAAGGAAUGGAAAUAGAACAUUAUGAUAGUUCUCGGUUGCAUGGAUCUAGACCUUGCACUUCGGAUUGAGCAAC